AGUGACAUAAGUAAAAAUUAAAAUUGAUAGAAAUAUUAAUAUUUGUAAAAAAUGUUGGAAAACAGUGAAAAUGAUAUCGUUUUAUCCAAUUCGAACGAAACUGUGCUAUAUCCCACAAAAGCGUUUUAUUACUAGUGAUGUGUUCAAUUUUAAUAUACAAUAUUCAUAUAUAGAUACUAAUAAAUCGAAAUCCAAUACACAAGAUUCGCUUUAUGGAUAUAUAAUAGCUUGAAAAGGGAUUGGCACACAUUUUCCUAUCAUUUAAUAGUAUUUGUACAUGAUUACAAAAAUUUGAUAAUACGAAAAUAAAAUGUAGAAACUGCUAAAGAGGCGUUUGAUCGGAAAAUAAGGUGUUGUAUUAUACUUGCCAAGUAUAUAUUUACAAAAUUUUCACACACUGAUUUUCAACCUCGCAAAUAUUAAAGCUCUACUUCAAUAAUUAUUUCAAUAAUCGAACGAAUCAAAUCUCUUGCAAAUAUCAAUCGCGAGAAUUCGGAAACCAUUACCAUUUCAUUGAAAUGUUUUAAUAAAUUUAGGAAGGUUCUAUAGAAUUUACAUCUAUAUACAAAUGAUAAAUGGGAUCAAUUUUAUUGAACGUUUGCUUUUGUCACUAUUUAAGAAGAUAGUUCAGAAAAGCGAUUUUAAGCGAAUGGAGAAUUUCUGACAAGGAACUCGUAGUUUCGAACUCACGUAACUGUUCUCGUUGUAAACAUGUCUUUGUUCAUAAAUUUAAAUUGCAUCGUUUUUUCGGAUUUCAGUUAGGCAGAAAGAAGUUCCAUUUCAACUAAUGUUAUUUCAGUAUUAGCAUAAGUAUAAGCUGUUAAUAUAUUUUUGAAUAUGCUACUUUUCACGAAUGAAUUUAGAUGGCCAAUUUUUGUGAUCGAGUAACAAGAAAAUUGUUCUUUUCCGGAAUGAACCAUCAUCAAAAUGUACAAAGUAAGCAUAUUCUGGAUUCUAGAUUGUGAUGUCAAUUGUAUCACUUUUGUUAACUUAUUCUCCGUAUUUUAAAUUGAGCUGCUUUAUGUUAUUAAUUAUUUGAUAAUGGCUUGUUUUAUGCCAUUUUCAAAUAAUUACUAUUAUGAUUUCCGUUACCUAAUACUCGACAUUUCAUGAACAAAAGUACUGUUUUUAUAGACAUUACUCCAAACCAUGUUCAAUAUUUUGAAUUGAAAAUUACUGUAUAUCGAAUGUAUUAGAUGGUCCCAAAAGUUUCUUUCGUUUUAUUAGGAAGUAACAGUUGUACAACAUUUUAUUUUUAUUAUUAUUUUAUUGAAUAUGUACGAUGCAUUUUGUUCCAAUAGAACAAAAAAUAAUAAUUGAUAUUUUUAUAAAUAUACUAAAACGAACUACCACCUAAUAGAACUUAGACAAAAAUUUGUUUUAUCCAUUAAAUAUUAAAUAUCUUAUAUCAUAGCCUAAUUUUUUCAUGUUUAGUUUUUCUAAAUGUUGCAUUUAGUUUUUGUAAAUUAUUCAAAAAUGCAUAGAAAUCUGCAAUCUACUUACGACAUUAUAUUUAAACUGUAUGAAGUAAAUCUUGAGUUUAUUCAGAUUUAUGAGUACGUAUUGAACUUGAUGUAAUCACUCAUCGCUAGUUUCACGAAUUCAUGUCAAUUAGAUAUCGUCUUCUUAACGCUUCUUUCACACGACUGGAUAUCGAUAAUAAAUUUUAUCGUUUACAUUGCACAAGACCACUUCACAUCGUCAUUUAGACCCAAAUAGUAAAUUUGUCAAUUUUCAUUGGGAUACAUGUUGCAUUCCGAUGAAACAUCGUAAUUGAUUGCUGUGAAACUAUUAUUUCGACCUAAAUGAAAUGAGUAGUUUACAAUAUUUAUCACAACCACUUUCUUUGGAGAUAUUUACAACUAACCACUUUAUAAGUACAUAAUAUAUAUGUAUGUUGUAGAUGAAAUGACUUAAUAAAACAUUUAAUAUUUAUAUCUUGCCUGAAAAUAAUAUUAAUCAAACUAUAAUUUAACAGAUUUAAUACAUUUCGACCAUUUAUAAAACAAAGUUACAAUUUGGUACUCGAAACCUUUAGUUGAUCAUUAUCGACAACUUUUUGUAUGUUUUUAAUAUUUAUAUGUUUGAUGGUGUCCUUCAAUUGAGAUUAUUCCACGCUAACGCAGAUUGUUCAUUUUUUUAAUAUAGUUUUUUUAGAAAAAGCUGUUAUAGCAGUAAUUAUAUAUAAAAAACGUUUAAUAGCAAAUUACCUAUAUAAUAGUAAACCACAAUAAUACAAACUAUAAGAAAUUUUCAUUUACUUUCUUCUAAUCGUCAAUUCCUUUUCUCAAUUAUAUUGAUAUAUUCUAGGAUAAUUAUUUAGAAAACUGCGAUCAUCUUGGAUUUCGAUGAUUUUUUAAUAUAUUGCAAAAAUCAACAUUUCAAACAACUUUUUCCUUUGCGUGCUAUCCUCGGAUUCUUAGUUUCCGAGAUUUUUGCAAAAAACUGGCGGUAUCACUACAAUGAAUUCUGCUUAUAAUUGUUUACAAAUAAUGUCCGUGACAGCGGAUGACCCAACCUAUAUAAACUAUAAACAAAUGAUAAGAAUUAGGUUCGGAUUAAGCGUUAUUUUAUCUGGUCACCACACCGUGAUGCUGCCUAACUCCAAUCAAUAUUUAACGCAUACGCUGUCACGGACACAGAAUUGUCACCAGAAUUCACUGUGGUUGUACCGACAGUUUUUUGCGAAAACUGACAAUAAGACUAAAAAUUGUUCAGAUGCCUCCAAUAACAUAUUAAAAAAUCAUCGAUAUCUGAAAUGGUGGAAGUUUUCGAAAUAAUUACUCUUAACUUUUAUUUUCUUUUUUCUAAAGAAUAUAUUUGACAUAAAGUACAGCCUUCAUUAAUUAAUACAGAACAAUUAUUUGAAACAGAAUUAAAGGAUUGGCUGUCCCAACAUUUAUCCAGAUUAUGUAUAAUAACCUCAUUAGAACUUGGUAGGAUAAAAUUAAUUUCUUUCCUUUUCUAUAUCUUUUACGGUUUUUGAUCGCUAAACAUAAUAAUAUAUUUCGAUCAAUUUUGAUAUUCGUAUUAUUCUAUUUUUUGUUAUUUGAUCCUACGCAUGUUACGAAUGGUUUUACAAUACAAAUUUAGGUUUCUAUAGACUCUUUCGCUUUCCCUAUCUAAUUUAUUUCAAAUAUUUUAAAUAGGCCAGGAAAAUAUGUGAGUCAUGUAAUUAAUUACUACAUUGUUGUGACUUUUGAAAAUAGUUUUGACAAACUUUUGUUAUGUGUUCCGGAUUGCAAUUUUGCAUGAAUAUGAAAUUCUGAUCGAUUAAUGGUUUUCUUGAUAAUUUGGAUUAAUUAUCAAUUCGAAUGAAAAUAAUAGGUGUCCCAUACUCGGGAUCAAUCAACGGGAGUGUAGAUAAAUAAAUUCCUUAGAAGCCAAACUGAUUUCAACUCCAUUUUUUACUAAUUUCUCAAUUACAAUAUUCAAAUACAAUAUACAAUUAAUAUUUAAUUCUUAAAAUAUAAAUAUGGUAUUUCCAUAAUUUCAUUUAUAAAUAACAUGAUUACUAAUAUCAAUAUGAAAUAUUACUAAUAAUAUAGUGAUAUAAAUAACAGUAAAUUUCAAGAUAAGUUGAAGAAAUAAUGCUUGUAAUAAUGGGAUAUAAUCACUCUACUUUCCAAUUUUCCAGUUAGUCAAUAUAGCUUCUACAUGAUUCAAAUGCACAAAUCAUUUUCUAUAUAAUGUCACUUUCUAUGUAACAAUAAAAACGAAUAUAUCUAGGGAUAUCUUUAACAUUUCUCAUUAAUUGUAAAUAUUUAAUCAAAACAAAUAUUGAACGUCCCAAUUACAUUAUACGAAAAUGCCACUGAAAGAUGUUUACUGAAACAUUUUCAAUAAUCAAAUGAUAAUCUCAGAAAGUUAUCGUUUCGUAAAUUAUAUCGUUGAUGUAUUGCCUAUUGUAACGUAUAAAGCGCCAGGAGUUUGAUGAUUCGUUAAGAAACAGAUAAUGUUCAAAUGCUUCUCGUAUGUAAUUUGCAUGAUUGCUACGCAUUAACUACACGUUUCUGUCCACAGUUCUCCCGUUUCAAGUACGAGAGAGUCCAAUCGAAACUAGUAUAUCUGCGAAUCAGGAAAAAACGUUCCAAAGUAUUGUAUGAUUCAUGCGAUAGUGGUUUCAAACGUUUUUUUUAGAUCGGUCUGUCUUUAUAUACAGUAAAACUUGGUUUAUAUUAACUCGUUAAGUAUUUAACAUUUAACUAUGUCAACGAAAUUUUAUUUACAAUUAAUGCCUGAAUAACUGAACGCUGACUGAAUCUUUAUUAUCUGAACUGCCGAGUACCACUCAUACCAAUUACAUGAACGAAUGGAAUGUAUUUGUGUCUAUUUAUAUGUAUCGAAAUGAUUUUUCUCGAUUUCUUUUAUUAUUCGAAUUAAUUUUUUUUAUUUAUUUAUAUUUAUAUCACGCGGUAUUAAUUAAUUACACGAUUAUUGUGGACACAAAUUCAUAAGGUUCCAAAAUCAUAAGGUUCGAAACAUUAUUAUAUGUAUAUUUAUGAGCAAAUGUUUGGUGGAGUUCAUUUAUAUGAACGUAAACUCUAUUAGCUGUCCGAAAAAUCACAGAUGUUGUAAGAAGGGAAAAUUAAGUGAACUUGUACUAUAUACAUACGAUAUACGAAUGACCUGGUCAUACGAAUCUGCUUAUCCCCAACAGAUUUGUAUAAAUGGUAUUUUACAUUAUAGUAUAAACAGGUUUAUAAAAAUAUUCGCGGUUUUAAAUAUCCUUUACGAAUAUAUUAUGUUGUAUGAAACAUUUUGAAAUUUCAUUAACGCAGUUAUGACUAUGAGACUCGACUAUCUUUGUUAUAUUGGUAACGUUAAAAACAGAACUGAAAAAACAUAUAUAUAUAUAUAUACAUAUACAUAUAUGUUUUUUCAGUAUAUAUAUUCAAUAUGUAUAUAUAUAUGCAAUUGUUUCCUAACCAUAAAUCUCAAUAUGAGGAAAGGCAAAAUACGAGGAAAGAGUAUCUUGGAUAAAAUUUGACCAACUAACUUAACAAAACUUGAGCACUUACAACAGUUUCAUUAAAAUUUGUAUUAAAUUCGAAGAAGGAAAUCAAUCAACAUUUAAGCCUAAAAGGUGAUACUGGAAUACAAGGAAUUUACUCAAUACCACAAAAUAUCCAAACAAACGAAACGCUAUGUAUAACGAAACAAAAAGAAAAUAAUAUUAAUAAUAUUUCCUAUAGGAUAUAAUAUAAUAAUAAUUCCCUAAAGAAAUAGCUCUAAAUAAGUACGACUAUACAAUAAAUAAACAAAAACAAAUAAUCGAGUAAUUGAAAAUAAAUGAUCUCUCAUAUAAAAGAUUAACAAAGUUAUUUGAUUAUCAGAACAGAAUAAAUUGUGACUAGUUCGCAUGAUCAAGGUUGUUCUAUUACAUGAUCUUACAUAUUUGCUAGAACGUAUUUUUUAUAUUUAUUUGUAAAGUAAUAACUUCUCAUUAAAUAAUUUAUACUUCAAUUGCGUUUCAAACAAGUUAAUAAAUGAUUCUUUUACUACUGUUAUCUUUUAAAUCAACAAAUCUCUAUUUAACUUCCAUUUCCCUAGUCAUAUUCAUAAGACUAUGAAAUAUCACAAAUAUCCGCGAUCUAGUUCUCAUUAAUUGUACAGUGUCCUAUCAAUGAUAGUGUCCCAGUGUUAAUGGUACAAUUGACAAGGAGGCAAUUUUAUGUGGAAAAGUAAGUCGAAAAUAUAAAAUAAAAUUUUUUCAUAGAACGCUUCGUUUUUGAACAAAUGAAAUUUUAAAAGUUAUCAAGUACGCAUGGCAAUGCCAAUUCUUAACUAAGCAUGUUCAAAUGCUAUUUUCUUGGAAAUGAGACCUUAAGCAGAAAAGUGUUAUUUUUCACUUAUUCUUCUUCGUAGAAUGACCUAAUGACCUUCUGAUGAUUGUUUACUUAUAUCCAUCCGGUAUUUAAUUAGAUAAGUUCAGAUAUAACAAAGAAAUUUCCAAAUUUGAUUUUAUCGAAAACAAAGCGUCGCGCCGUAUGAAAAAAUGUUAUUCUAUAUUUUCACUGAAUUUUUUCACGUAGAAUUACGGUUUUACCAAUUGUACCAUGAUUACUGGAACACCUUGUAUAGUAAUGUAGUAAAUUAUUGUGCAGUGGUAUGCCCACAGGUAUGCGAUUGAAGUUACGACGACAUGUGGCACGUAACAGUAACCUGUUUUCACAAGCGUGACUCAAUAGUGGCCACGUGAUUGUGACACCUCACUGAACAACGAAUCGAUCGCCAGGGGAAUAUAGACGACGGGCAAAACAGCAUUUACCUCGAUGCAGCACGAGCACAACGAGUAACACGAUGGAUCUUGAAACUUAAACACUCGUCGGAACGAAUACACGAUACUACACGACUAAAGCAUUCCACGCGCGCUUUCUCACUGAAGAACCGAGCGAACGAACGGGUUACGCACGUCCAUGAUUCCAUGAACAAGGCCCCACCCCGACCGAUUCCUCGUUCUCUGAGUUAUCGGUGACGACAUCAUCCAGGAGACGACGUUCUUCUCCUUCAUUUGCUCCAAUGAUCAAAGUUAAUCGUGCGAAUCGAAGCUCCGAUGUCGCCAAUGACGAUUUCUACCAAGAUUGAGUAUUAUCAAAACAAGCUUUCAUUUAAAUAAUUUUUCAAAUUGAAAUGUUGACUUUAUUUGUUAUUUUCUUUGUUCCUUUAUCUUAAAUAACGUUAUUUCGAUAAUAAUGUACUUGGGAAAUAAAUUAUUUGAUUGAAUAAAUA
Molecule: long non-coding RNA, 6732 nt
Organism: Bombus pyrosoma
Lineage: Eukaryota; Metazoa; Arthropoda; Insecta; Hymenoptera; Apidae
Exons: 2
Source: RefSeq, a predicted model, not a curated record